RNAcentral lists this long non-coding RNA (26683 nucleotides) under Triticum aestivum (bread wheat). RNAcentral's name for it is "long non-coding RNA (TAES_LNC027304)". The record is from RNAcentral. Lineage: Eukaryota; Viridiplantae; Streptophyta; Magnoliopsida; Poales; Poaceae.
ACCCACGCUGUGUGGAUAAGUGGGGAUGGGUUCCAUUGAAGUUGCUUUCCCAUGGAAAAAACGUAUUCCAGCGAAUACGCCUUUGGCGUCGCAGCCCUCCCGCAAGAUCGAGCGAUUGGGCUUAGCCCAAUAGCACCAGGCGGCUAUACCGCGCCCAAGGCGCGCUUCUACUCAGCCCAUCAGAGUAAUAUUUGUUUUCUUUUUCUAUUCCACCAGAUCUCAAAUAAUUCCAGAGUGAUCAUUUCACAUAUAAAUUUGAUGAUUCAAAUUUCUUCAUACUCCUAAAAUCAUGCUCUAUUAAUCCAGCUAGGGUGAUUAUUUUGUCCUAAGCUUUAUCACUGUUGGAUCUAUUAAUUAGCCCAUUUCUUCACUUAUCCCAGCUUAGAAAUUCCCUAGGAAAAAAUCAUAUUGACUCCAAAUAAUUUGAUUUUUUCCUAAUAUUCCUUAUUUUUCAUCUUGUUUAUUUUAGGAUUUAUUUCAAAAAUUUCCAAACAACUUUUUAGCACUGUUUUGGCUUUAUGUGGUAAUUGCAACAUUUUGAAAAUAGGAAAAUGGAGGGAAGAGAAAAAUUUCAAAGUCUUGGAGUGCAUCCAAUGUUUCUGCAUGCUCAAGGAAAGCAUCUUGAACACUUGAUAUGGUGAAUGCAUAAUUGGUUAUUUGCAAGUAUAAUUGAAUUAUGAAUAUGUUGAAUUCAUAUAAAAUUGGAAUGUCACUAGUCAUAUGAUACGUCUCCAAUGUAUCUAUAAAUUUUUAUUGUUCCAUGCUAUUAUAUUAUCUGUUUUGGAUGUUUUAUAUGCAUUAAUAUGCUAUUUUAUAUUAUUUUUGGGACUAACAUAUUAACCUAGUGCCCAGUGUUAGUUUUUGAUUUUUUUUCCUUAUUUUGGACUUUUAUAGAAAAUCAAUAACAAAUGGAGUCCAAAUGGAAUAAAACUUUAUGAUGAUUUUUUCUUGGACUAGAAGAAACCCAGGAAGCUUUGGGAGGAGGCCAGAAGACCAACGAGGAGGCCACAAGCCCUAGGGCCGCGCCCCGGGGGUGCGCCUAGGCUUGUGGGCCCCUCGGAUACCUUCCAUCCCUACUUCCACCACUAUAACUUCUCAGAUAUUCCCCUUACGUUAGAGGGCACACCAAAAAUACUUUUUAGCCGCCGCAAGUUUCUGUUCUCGUGAGAUCCCAUCUUGGGGCCUUUUCCGGCACUCCGCCGGAGGGGGAUUCAAUCAUGGAGUGCCUCUACAUCAACCUUGCUGCCCUUCCGAUGAAGCGUGAGUAGUUUACCACGGACCUAAGGGUUCAUAGCUAGUAGCUAGAUGGCUUCUUCUCUCUCUUUGAUCUUCAAUACAUUGUUCUCCUUGAUGUUCUUGGAGAUCUAUUCGAUGUAAUCAUCAGUUGCGGUGCGUUUGUUGAGAUUAGAUGAAUUGUGGAUUUAUGAUCAGAUUAUCUAUGAAUAUUAUUUGAGUCUUCUCUGAACUCUUUUGUGCAUGAUUGAGAUAGCUUAGUAUUUCUCUCCGAUCUAUCCGUUUGGUUUGGCAUACUAGAUUGGUUUUUCUUGCAAUGGGAGAGGUGCUUUGUGAUGGGUUCAAUCUUGUGGUGUCCUCACCCAGUGGCAGCAGGGCUAGCGAGGCAUGUAUUGUAUUGUUGCCAUUAAGGAUAAAAAGAUGGGGUUUAUAUCAUAUUGCUUGAGUUUAUCCCUCUACAUCAUGUCAUCUUGCUUAAGGCGUUACUCUGUUUUUAUGAACUUAAUACUCUAGAUGCAGGCAGGAGUCGGUCGAUGUGUGGAGUAAUAGUAGAUGCAAAAUUGUCUCAGUCUACUUGUCAUAGACGUGAUGCCAAUAUUCAUGAUCAUUGCCUUAGAUAUUGUCAUAACUUUGCGCUUUUCUAUCAAUUGCUCAACAGUAAUUUCUUUCACCAUAUGCUUCAUUCGAGAGAGAAGCCUCUAGUGAAACCUAUGGCCCCGGGUAUAUUUUCCAUCAUAUAUUUUUAGAUCUAUAAAACCAAAAACCAAAAAAUACCUUGCUACAAUUUACCUAUAUUUACUUUAUUUUGCCUUUUACUUAUCUUUCAUAUCCAUCUCUAUUAGACCUCACUCUUGCAAGUGACCGUAAAGGGAUUGACAACCCCUUUUUCGCGUUGAGUGCAAUUGUUUGUUAGUUUGUGCAGGUGCAUAUAUUUUGGACUUGCUUGUGCCUCCUACUGGAUUAGUACCUUCAUUCUUAACUGAGGGAAAUACUUAUCUCUACUUUGCUGCAUCACCCUUUCCUCUUCAAGGGAAAAAUCAACGCAAGCUGAAGAAGUGGUAGGAAGAAUUUCUGGCGCCGUUGCCAGGGAGGUUCUACAUCAAGCCUACCAAGUACCUAUCAUAAACUCUCAUCCCUUACAUUUACAUUAUUUUCCAUUUUCCUCUUGUUUUCCUCUUCCCCACUUCUAAAACGUUUUCAGAAAAAACACAAAAAUAUUUGCCUUUUUAUUUGCCUUCUUUUCAUUUGCCUUUAUGUCUUACUUGGUUUGUUUGCUUGUUCAUUUGGUAUAAUUGUGUGUUUAUUGAAAAUCAGAAAGCAAAAAUUUAUGGAUCCUCAUCCACUUGCUAAUCUUUUUAAAAGAUCCAAUUAUGAUGAACUAAUUUCUAGUGAGUUGAGUGCACUAGAUUAUCUUUAUGAAGUUUUGCUUGAAAUUCGUGAAUCUAAAAAUUGUGAUGAAGUCUUAAAAGAAGAAAUUUAUGAAGUGAUUCACGAUAGCUCCUUGAAAGAAAAGCAUGAUUGCAAUGAUGUUAUUAUAAAUUCUAUUAAUGUCAAUUGUGUUAAUAAUAUGCAAAACCCCAAGCUUGGGGAUACUAGUUUUGCUAUGUCCACUACUUAUUGCAAUGAUCAUGAUUGGGGGUGAUAAUGCUUCUUAUGAUCUUGAAAAUUUGUUUAAGCCUCAUGAUGAAUAUGAUAUUGAUAAUAAUAUUUGCAAUAAUAUUGAAAGUGAGUUUGGAAGAGUGUCAACUUUAAGAAAUAAUGAUCCCACUACUUUGGAGAUUGAUCAAUCUUAUGAAUAUUUUGAUAAAAGUGGGCUUGGAGAAGUGAUACGUCCAUUUUGCAUCAUGCUUUUAUAUCGCUAUUUAUUGCAUUAUGGGCUGUUAUUACACGUUAUGUCACAAUACUUAUGGCUAUUAUCUCUUAUUUUACAAGGUUUAUCAUGAAGAGGGAGAAUGCCGGCAGCUGGAAUUCUGGCUGGAAAAGGAGCAAAUAUUGGAAACCUAUUCUGCACAGCUCCAAAAGUCCUGAAACUCCAUGAAAGUCAUUUUUGGAAUCAAUAAGAAUUAUUGAGCAAAGAAAGUACCAGAGGGGGCCCACACCCUGGCCACGAGGGUGCCCCCCUACUGGGCGCGCCCCCUGUUGGCCCUCCGGUGCCCAUCUUCUGCUAUAUGAAGCCUCUUACCCUGGAAAAAAUCAGAAGCAAGCUUACGGGACGAAACUCCGCUGCCACGAGCUGGAACCUUGGCGGAACCAAUCUAGGGCUCCGGCGGAGCUGUUCUGCCGGGGAAACUUCCCUCCGGGAGGGGGAAAUCAUCACGAUCAUCAUCACCAACGAUCCUCUCAUCGGAAGGGGGUCAAUCUCCAUCAACAUCUUCACCGGCACCAUCUCCUCUCAAAACCCUAUUUCAUCUCUUGUAUCCAAUCUUGUAUCAAAACCACAAAUUGGUACCUGUGGGUUGCUAGUAGUGUUGAUUACUCCUUGUAGUUGAUGCUAAUUGGUUUACUUGGUGGAAGAUCAUAUGUUCAGAUCCUUAAUGCAUAUUAAUACUCCUCUGAUCAUGAACAUGAAUAUGCUUUGUGAGUAGUUACAUUUGUUCCUGAGGACAUGGGUGAAGUCUUGCUAUUAGUAGUCAUGUGAAUUUGGUAUUAGUCGAUAUUUUGAUGAGAUGUAUGUUGUCUCUCCUCUAGUGGUGUUAUGUGAACGUCGACUACAUGACACUUCACCAUUAUUUGGGCCUAGAGGAAGGCAUUGGGAAGUAAUAAGUAAAUGAUGGGUUGGUAGAGUGAUAGAAGCUUAAACCCUAGUUUAUGCGUUGCUUCGUAAGGGGCUGAUUUGGAUCCACUAGUUUCAUGUUAUGGUUAGGUUUAACUUAAUACUUCUUUUGUAGUUGCAGAUGCUUGCAAUAGGGGUUAAUCAUAAGUGGGAUGCUUGUCUAAGAAAGGGCAGUACCCAAGCACCGGUCCACCCACAUAUCAAAUUAUCAAAGUACCGAACGCGAAUCAUAUGAGCUGAUGAAAACUAGCUUGACGAUAAUUCCCAUGUGUUCUCGGGAGCGGCUUUUCUCAUUAUAAGAAAUUGUACAGGCUUGUCCUUUGUUACAAAAAGGAUUGGGCCACCUUGUUGCACUUUAUUUAAUUUCAUUGCUUGUUACCCGUUACAAAUUAUCUUAUCACAAAACUAUCUGUUACCUACAAUUUCAGUGCUUGCAGAGAAUACCUUACUGAAAACCGCUUGUCAUUUCCUUCUGCUCCUUGUUGGGUUCGACACUCUUACUUAUCAAAAGGACUACAAUAGAUCCCCUAUACUUGUGGGUCAUCAAGACUCUUUUCUGGCGCCGUUGCCUGGGAGUGAAGCGCCUUUGGUGAGUGGAACUUGGUAAGGAAACAUUUAUAUAGUGUGCUGAAAUUUUCUGUCACUUGUUACUACGGAAACUAAUCCUUUGAGGGGCUUGUUCGGGGUAUCUUCACCUCGACCAGUAGAGCAAAGAGUUGCUCCUCAACCUACUGAACCUACUGAAAAUUUUUACUUUGAGAUUCCUUCGGGUAUGAUAGAGAAACUGCUAGCUAAUCCCUUUGCGGGAGAUGGAACAUUGCAUCCCGAUUUACACCUUAUCUUUCUGGAUGAAGUUUGUGGAUUAUUUAAGCUUGCAGGUAUACCCAAUGAUGUUGUCAAGAGGAAGGUCUUCCCUUUAUCUUUGAAGGGAGACACAUUGACAUGGUAUAGGCUAUGUGAUGAUACGGGAUCUUGGAACUAUAAACGAUUGAAGUUGGAAUUUUACCAGAAGUUCUAUCCUAUGCAUCUUGUUCAUCGUGAUCGUAAUUACAUAUAUAAUUUCUGGCCUCGCAAAGAAGAAAGCAUCGCUCAAGCUUGGGGGAGGCUUAAGUCAAUGCUAUAUUCAUGCCCCAAUCAUGAGCUCUCAAGAGAAAUGAUUAUUCAAAAAAUUUAUGCUCGGCUUUCUCUCAAUGAUCGCACCAUGCUCGAUACUUCCUGUGCUAGUUCUUAUAUGCUGAAGACUACUGAAUUCAAGUGGGAUUUAUUGGAAAGAAUUAAACGCAACUCUGAAGAUUGGGGUUCUGACGAUUGUAAGGAGUCAGGUAUGACACCCAAGUUUGAUUGUGUUAAAUCUUUUAUGGAAACCGAUGCUUUUCGUGGAUUUAGCGCUAAAUAUGGACUUGACUCUGAGAUAGUAGCUUCUUUUUGUGAAUCUUUUGCUACUCAUGUUGAUCUCCCUAAGGAGAAGUGGUUUAAAUAUAAUCCUCCCAUUGAAGUAAAAGUAGUUGCACCUAUUAUAGUUGAAGAAAAGACUAUCACUUAUAAUGAUCCUAUUGUUCCUACUACUUAUGUUGAGAAACCACCUUUUUCUGUUAGAAUAAAGGAUCAUGCUAAAGCUUCAAUUGUUGUUCGUAAGAGUAAUACUAGAACAUAUACACCUCCUGAGCAAAUUAAAGUUGAACCUAGUAUUGCUAUGGUUAAAGAUCUCUUGUAUCAUAAUUUAGAUGGGCAUGUUAUUUAUUUCUGUGAUGAAGCUACUAAUAUUGCUAGACCAGAUGCUAAGAUACAUAGACCUGUUGUAGGCAUGCUUGUUAUUUCUGUUAAAAUAGGAGAUCAUUAUUAUCAUGGCUUAUGUGAUAUGGGUGCUAGUGCUAGUGCAAUACCUCAUUCCUUAUAUGAAGAAAUUAUGCAUGAUAUCGCACCCACUGAAAUAGAAGGUAUUGAUGUUACUAUUAAGCUUGCCAAUAGAGAUACUAUUUCACCAGUUGGGAUUGUUAGAGAUGUUGAAGUCUUGUGUGGGAAAGUUAAAUAUCCUGCUGAUUUUCUUGCUCUUGGUUCCCCACAAGAUGAAUUUUGUCCCAUUAUAUUUGGUAGACCCUUCUUGAAUACUGUUAAUGCUAAGAUUGAUUGCAAAAAGGAUGUUGUUACGAUUGGCUUAGGGGACAUGUCUCAUGAGUUUAACUUUGCUAAAUUUUAUAGACAACCCCAUGAUAAAGAAUUGCUUAGUAAGGAUGAAAUUAUUGGUAUUGCUUCUAUUAGCGUGCCUCCUACUGAUCCGUUAGAACAAUAUUUGCUAGACCAUGAAAAUGAUAUGUUUAUGAAUGAAAGAAGGGAAAUAGAUGAAGUAUUCCUUCAACAGGGUCCUAUUCUGAAACACAACUUGCCUGUUGAAAUCCUAGGGGAUCCCCCUCCACCCAAGGGUGAUCCCAUAUUUGAGCUCAGACCUUUACCUGUUAAUCUUAAAUAUGCUUAUGUUGAUGAAAAGAAGAUAUAUCCUAUUAUUAUUAGUGCUGCUAUUGGAUAUACUCUGGAUGAUCUUAAGGGCAUUAGUCCCACUCUAUGCCAACACAAAAUUAAAUUGGACGAAGGCUCCAAACCAGUUAUAGAUCCUCAACGACGAUUAAAUCCUAAGAUGAAAGAAGUGGUAAGAAAUGAGAUACUAAAGCUCCUUGAGGCAGGUAUAAUUUAUCCCGUUGCUGAUAGUGAUUGGGUAAGUCCUGUCCAUUGCGUCCCUAAGAAGGGAGGUAUUACUGUUGUUCCUAAUGAUAAACAUGAAUUGAUUCCGCAAAGAAUAAUUACAGAUUAUAGGAUGGUAAUUGAUUUCCGUAAAUUAAAUAAAGCUACUAAGAAAGAUCAUUACCCUUUACCUUUUAUUGAUCAAAUGCUAGAAAGACUAUCAAAACAUACACAUUUUUGCUUUCUAGAUGAUUAUUCUGGCUUCUCUCAAAUACCUGUGUCAGCGGAGGAUCAAUCAAAAACUACUUUUACUUGCCCUUUCGGUACUUUUGCUUAUAGACGUAUGCCUUUUGGUUUAUGUAAUGCACCUGCUACCUUUCAAAGAUGCAUGAUGGCUAUAUUCUCUGACUUUUGUGAAAAGAUUUGUGAGGUAUUCAUGGAUGAUUUCUCCGUUUAUGGAUCCUCUUUUGAUGAUUGCUUGAGCAACCUUGAUCGAGUCUUACAGAGAUGUGAAGACACUAGUCUCGUCUUGAAUUGGGAAAAGUGCCACUUUAUGGUUAAUGAAGGCAUUGUCUUGGGGCAUAAAAUUUAUGAAAGAGAUAUUGAAGUUGAUAAAGCUAAAGUUGAUGCUAUUCAAAAGAUGCCAUGUCCCAAGGAUAUUAAAGGUAUAAUAAGUUUCCCUGGUCAUGCCGACUUUUAUAGGAGGUUCAUUAAGGACUUCUCUAAAAUCUCUAGGCCCCUGACUAAUUUAUUGCAAAAAGAUAUUCCUUUUGUCUUUGAUGAUGAUUGUGUAGAAGCAUUUGAAAUACUUAAGAAAGCUUUGAUCACUGCACCUAUUGUUCAGCCACCUGAUUGGAAUUUACCCUUUAAAAUUAUGUGUGAUGCUAGUGAUUAUGCUGUAGGUGUUGUUCUAGGGCAAAGAGUUGAUAAGAAAUUAAAUGUUAUCCAGUAUGCUAGUAAAACUCUUGAUACUGCCCAGAGAAAUUAUGCUACUACUAAAAAAGAAUUCUUAGCAGUUGUAUUUGCUUGUGAUAAGUUUAGACCUUAUAUUGUUGAUUCUAAAGUUACUAUUCACACUGAUCAUGCUGCUAUUAAAUAUCUUAUGGAAAAGAAAGAUGCUAAGCCUAGACUUAUUAGAUGGGUUCUCUUACUCCAAGAAUUUGAUUUGCAUAUUAUUGAUAGAAAGGGAGCUGAGAACCCCGUUGCAGACAACUUGUCUAGGUUAGUGAUAGAUGCAAAGGUGUCCCGUCUUUCGAUGAGAUGAUGGAUAUCGCUUUGGUGGCAGUCAACUUUGACGAUCCGACUACGAACGUGCGAGGACGUCGCGCCUUAGCAAUCGCUAAACCAACUCCGAGAGGUUAUUGACCACGCCGGAGCACGAUCAACCUGACCACGAGGGUCUGUUUCCUGCGAGCAAACGAAGAACAAGCAAGAAAUUGAGAUUGCAAUCUGGAUAUUGCGAAUAUAAGAUGAAAGCUUUAUUGAUCAAGGUGGGGUUCUGUGACGCCUUUGUCUGUAUCAAGUGGUAUCAGUUUUCAGGUUGCUCGGUGAGAAUUUCCAGUUUUCCUAGAUUAGAUUUAUUUUCUUACCUAUUGUCCAAGAAAAAGCCACAAAAAAGAGUUAGAUCUAUUCAUCCUUGGUCCAAGCCAGUCUGAGCCUUUGCAAUUUUCUUUUCAUUGCUUGCAUAGUUGAAUUAUCGGUUGCAUCGUCGUGUCGAGUUGCUGGUCUUAGUGUCUAGUUCGUUUAGAGUUUCGAGUUCUGUUCACAUUAGUCAUGCCACCGCUGCAUCAUUAUCUCUUCCGCUGUCCACCACCCAUCCAUCAAUUUCCACCACGUGCUACCCACCAUUCAUUGUCAUAAUAAUAGUUGAGAUCGUUCACAUCUUCACUUGAUCCAAUCUGCAUCUUAUCUAGUUUGUUUUGGAAAGAGGGAGAAAAAAAGAGAGAAAAAAAGGAGAAAAAAAAGGAGAAAAAAAAGUCAGAGAAAAAAAAGGAGAGAAAGAAAAAAAAUGUGAGGAAAAAAAGAGAGAAGAAAAAGAACAAAAAAAUCGGCACAAACUUUUUCAGAGGAAUGUUGGAGACAAAGUUGUUGAUAUAUCCUGCUUGGCUGUUGUUUCACCUCAUUAUCUUUACUGCCGUUGUGAUCUUCACUUAUAUCUUGCUGUCCAGAGCUACUUAGUAUCCUUCAUUGAUGCUAGUUGUGCUACGACGUGACCUCAUUAGUGUUCUAGGCUCGCGUCUCUAGUUCGGUCUAGCCUAGGACCAGCACAGUACCGUCGUUGAGCGUUUAUUCAACAUCGCAUCUCUGAAUUGAUUAUUGCUAAUCUUUUGCUACCAUAUAUAGCCAACCCAGCUCUACAUAUUUCUACACCGUGUAUACGUACGUUCCCCUGGCAAUCGCUUUACACAAUCUUCAGAGUUAUUUGACACCGCUGGUUGCCUGUCACCACCUGCUGCUUGGUAAGAACUUGUAAGAUAUUGAUAUUUGCUUUACUGUGAGCGCUUUACCACCACACCCUAGUAGUUCAUAGGAACAUUAUUCUUGAAUUUUGUUUCUUGUUUCUACUAAUCAUGACAGGUUCCGAAGAUAGAAGUUCUUGGACGACGGACACAUCUUUACCAUCACGAGAGUUGGGACAACACACACAAGCACAUGGUCAGGUUAUCUUUUUACCGUCAUUUGAGGGUAGAUUUAAUCCUACUACUUAUCUAGCUUGGGAGCUUGAAGUAGAACAAGUUUUUAGUCACCAUGACUUUUCUGAACUUGAGCGAGUGCAAGCAGCCACUAGAGCAUUUACUGAUUUUGCUUCUGUUUGGUGGAGUGUACAUUGUAAGAAAAACAUUGAUAACCAACCCACAACUUGGAAAGUUUUGAAAGCUGUAAUGAGACAACAAUUUUUCCCUCCUUAUUAUCGUCGUGAAUUGCUUUGCAAAUUUGAACAAUUUAAACAAGGCAACAACACUGUUCAUGCUUACUACCAAGAGUUCAAAUCUUACAUGCAUCAUUGUGACAUAGAAGAAUCUGAGAAUGAUACAAUGAAUACCACUUGAUAGAGGCGAGGGUCCCGAUCUUUCGAUGAGAUGAUAACUAUCGAUUUGGUGGAGACGACUUUGAUGAUCCGACUACAAACGUGCACAACAUUGCGCCUUAGCAAUCGCUAAACCAAUCUCCUGAGGUUACUGACAAUGCUGGAAGCACGGUCAGCCUGACCACGAAGGUCUAUUCCUGCAAGCAAUCGAAGAACGAGCAAGAAUAUGAUAAAGCAAUAUGAAUAUUGCAAAUAUAUAUAUGAGGUAUUGAUAAUGGUGGGGAUCAGGAAGCGGUCUUUGUCUGGUCGUUGGACACAAACGAAGUACACGAAGUUGCAAUGGCUAACUUUUAACUAAACAAAUCCCAAGGAAAAAGCUACUAGAUGGAUCUACUUAUAUAGGAGCAAGGGGUGGCGGCUAAGGAGGUGGGAGGACGUCCCAAGGCAGCCUAAAACUAACCCUAGGUCGUACAAGGCUCAUGGACCCAAGUGGAGGUGAUGCAACACCUUUGGACUUGUAGUUUGACUCGGAUUCUGCUGCAACGUCAGAUUGUUUCGUCCGUAACUCAACGCUCCGGACGAAUUUGAAGGUGAAUCCAAUUGGGUUGGAAAGAGCACGAAAUCUAGUUUUCAACAAAAAAAGAAUCACCCAAUUCGGAGUCCGUAUGAAAAAGUUGUUGGCGUUUUGAGUCAGGUAUGUCUGUGCAGUCCGAAUCUGAAUCCAGAACGUGAGAGACUUGGACUCUAUCUUCUCUUGGCCCAAAAGUGACGUGAGAGGACUUUUUGAACACAACCUAAACUUCUCCUUUUCCCUUGUCUUCGUAUGUGGAUUGUACAAAUGUCCCAUACACCUGCAAUUAGACAAAACACAAAAGUGUGUGAAGUAUUUUUGUUCUGGAUAACAUAAAUAGAUUAAUGAAUAGUUUGCAUUAGAAAUCACCUGACAAAUAUGCAUGUAUGCAAUAUUUUUGGUCGUAUACAAGGUAGUCAUGUCCUCAUCAGUUAGAGAAUGUUCUUGAUGACCCACUACCUAUUGAUGAUAGCUUUCCUGAUGAACAAUUAGCGGUCAUUAAUGCUUCUCAUACUGCUCCAUGGUAUGCUUAUUAUGCUAAUUACAUUGUUGCUAAAUUUAUACCACCUAGUUUCACAUACCAGCAAAAGAAAAAGUUCUUUUAUGAUUUAAAACAUUACUUCUGGGAUGACCCACACCUUUAUAAAGGAGUAGAUGGUGUUAUUAGACGUUGUGUACCUGAGCAUGAGCAGGAACAGAUCCUACGCAAGUAUCACUCCGAACCAUAUGGAGGACAUCACGCUGGAGAUAGAACUGCACAUAAGGUAUUGCAAUCCGACUUUUAUUGGCCUACUCUCUUCAAAGAUGCUCGUAAGUUUUUCUUGUCUUGUGAUGAAUAUCAAAGAAUUGGUAAUAUUAGUAGACGCCAAGAAAUGCCUAUGAAUUAUUCUCUUGUUAUUGAACCAUUUGAUGUUUGGGGCUUUGAUUAUAUGAGACCUUUUCCUGCCUCUAACGGAUAUACACAUUUUUUUAGUUGUUGUUGAUUACGUUACUAAGUGGGUAGAAGCUAUUCUAACUAGUAGUGCUGAUCAUAACACCUCUAUUAAGAUGCUUAAGGAAGUUAUUUUUCCGAGGUUUGGAGUCCCUAGAUAUCUCAUGACUGAUGGUGGUUCACAUUUUAUUCAUGGUGACUUUCGUAAAAUGCUUGCUAAGUAUGAUGUUAAUCAUAGAAUUGCAUCUCCUAAUCACCCACAGUCUAGCGGUCAAGUAGAGUUGAGUAAUAGAGAGCUCAAAUUAAUUUUGCAAAAGACUGUCAAUAGAUCUAGAAAGAAUUGGUCCAAGAAACUUGAUGAUGCAUUAUGGGCCUAUAGAACUGCAUAUAAAAAUCCUAUGGGUAUGUCUCCGUAUAAGAUGGUUUAUGGAAAAGCAUGUCACUUACCUCUCGAACUUGAACAUAAAGCAUAUUGGGCUAUUAAAGAGCUCAACUAUGAUUUCAAACUUGCCGGUGAGAAGAGGUUAUUUGACAUCAGCUCACUUGAUGAAUGGAGAACCCAAGCCUAUGAGAAUGCCAAGCUGUUCAAAGAAAAAGUUAAAAGAUGGCAUGACAAAAGAAUACAAAAACAUGAGUUUAACGUAGGUGAGUAUGUAUUGCUAUUCAACUCUCGUUUAAGAUUUUUUGCAGGAAAACUUCUCUCUAAGUGGGAAGGUCCUUACGUUAUCGAGGAAGUCUAUCGUUCCUGUGACGCCCCCGAUUCAAUCAUACACUAAUCAUGCACGCAAAUGUGUACGAUCAAGAUCAGGGACUCACGGGAAGAUAUCACAACACAACUCUAAAACAUAAAUAAGUCAUACAAGCAUCAUAAUACAAGCCAGGGGCCUCGAGGGCUCGAAUACAAGUGCUCGAUCAUAGAUGAGUCAGCGGAAGCAACAAUAUCUGAGUACAGACAUAAGUUAAACAAGUUUGCCUUAAGAAGGCUAGCACAAACUGGGAUACAGAUCGAAAGAGGCGCAGGCCUCCUGCCUGGGAUCCUCCUAACUACUCCUGGUCAUCGUCAGCGGGCUGCACGUAGUAGUAGGCACCUCCAGAGUAGUAGUCGUCGUCGACGGUGGCGUCUGGAUCCUGGGCUCCAACGUCUGGUUGCGACAUCCGAGAAGAAGAGGAAAACGAGGGAAAAGAGGGAGCAAAGCAACCGUGAGUACUCAUCCAAAGUACUCGCAAGCAAGGAGAUACACUACAUAUGCAUGGGUAUAUGUGUAAGGAGGCAAUAUGAGUGGACUGAACUGCAGAAUGCCAGAAUAAGAGGGGGAUAGCUAGUCCUAUCGAAGACUACGCUUCUAGCAGCCUCCGUCUUGCAGCAUGUAGAAGAGAGUAGACUGAAGUCCUCCAAGUAGCAUCGCAUAGCAUAAUCCUACCCGGCGAUCCUUCCCUCAUCGCCCUGUGGAAAAGCGAUCACCGGGUUGUAUCUGGCACUUGGAAGGGUGUGUUUUAUUAAGUGUCCGGUUCUAGUUGUCAUAAGGUCAAGGUACAACUCCAAGUCGUCCUGUUACCGAAGAUCACGGCUAUUUGAAUAGAUUAACUUCCCUGCAGGGGUGCACCACAUAACCCAACACGCUCGAUCCCAUUUGGCCGGACACACUUUCCUGGGUCAUGCCCGGCCUCGGAAGAUCAACACGUCGCAGCCCCACCUAGGCACAACAGAGAGGUCAGCCCGCCGGUCUAAAUCCUAUGCGCGCAGGGGUCUGGGCCCAUCGCCCAUUGCGCACUUGCACGUUGCGAGGGCGGCCGGAAGCAGACCUAGCAACCUCCAUUACAAAGGAAGUCACGUUACGCGGUCCAAUCCGGCGCGCGCCGCUCCGUCGCUGACGUCAAGAAGGCUUCGGCUGAUACCACGACGUCGAGUGCUCAUAACUGUUCCCGCGUAGUUGGUUAGUGCGUAUAGGCCAGUGGCCAGACUCAGAUCAAAUACCAAGAUCUCGUUAAGCGUGUUAUUAUGAAAUAACCGCGGACGCCGACCAGGGCCAGGCCCACCUGUCUCGCAGGUGGUCUCAACCUGCCUUGUUGCUCCGCCACAAAGAUCCACAUAGAGGGCCGUCGGGACAAAGGUCCUUUCAGCCCCCAAUCCGUGAAUCACUCGCGGGUACUCCUCGAGCCAACCCGACUUUGGUCACCAUCUAUAGUAUGUAUAUAUGUAUAGUAUAAACCCGUGAUCACCUCCCGAGUGAUCACGGCCCAAUAGUAUAGCAAGGCAGACUGACAAGAAUAUAGGGCCAAUGAUGAUAAACUAGCAUCCUAUACUAAGCAUUUAGGAUUGCGGGUAAGGUAUCAAUGACUGUAGCAACAAUGACAGGCUAUGCAUCAGAAUAAGAUUAACGGAAAGCAGUAACAUGCUACACUACUCUAAUGCAAGCAGUAUAGAGAAGAAUAGGCGAUAUCUGGUGAUCAAGGGGGGGCUUGCCUGGUUGCUCUGGCAAGUAGGAGGGGUCGUCAACUCCGUAGUCGAACUGGGGAGCAGCGGCGUCUGCCUCGGGGUCUAGCGAGAGAAGAGGGGGAAGAAACAAUAAAUACAAUGCAAACAAAUGCAUGACGAUGCAUGACAAGACAAGGCGUGUUGCUAGGCGUGCCCCAACGUGGUAGUAGGUGGUACCGGCGAAGGGGAAAACAUCCGGGAAAGUAUCCCCGGUGUUUCGCGUUUUCGGUCAGAGGAAUCGGAGGGGGAAAGUUGCAGGUUCACUAUGCUAGGGACGCGUGACGGAUGAACGGGCUGCAUAUCUGGAUUUGUCUCGUCGUUCUAAGCAACUUUCGUGUACAAAGUUUCCAUCCGAGCUACAGAUUAUUUUAUAUUAAUUUUUAAAGUUUUAAAUCAUUUUCUAGAAUUUCUAGAUAUUUUGAAAAAGAAAUUACCUAAACUGCUAUGGAUACACAGAGAGGUGUACCCAAUAGUGUGCAAGAGGCUGACAGGUGGGGUCCAGUUGACUGCCCAGACAGCAGUCAACUAAGACUGUUGACUAGUCAAAGGGACCAGGGGACCCGCAUGUCAUUGACUAGGCUAUCCCAGUCAGCAGUUUGACUGGUCAAUGGGUUGACUGGGGCCACUUGUCAGUGACUAGACUCAGAUAGACUUUAGUUAAGUUACAUUAAUUAGCAGUGGGGGCCACUAGUCAUAGGGCCAUCUAACUAAUGAAACUAAUAAUAAUAAAAAGGUUAAUCCCCAAUUAGCCGGCCCCAAUCUUGCAGUGGCCAGAGGCUACGACUGGGAGCACGCACAACCGCACGCACAGGUGCGCUGGCGGUCGGUGCCCAGCACACAGGGCGGAGGGGGAGUAGGGCGCGGCCCUGGCCAGCAGGCGUGGUCGACCGCGGGCAAUGUGGGCGCUGGCCCGCGCGAGGGCAGCUGGGUUGCAACCAGCAGCGGCGCGCGACGUCAGCCGCAGGCAGUAGCAGCAGCAGGAAGUGGAAGGCGGGGGCGGGCAUGGCGCCCGCAGGGCGGCUACGGCGGCAGGCGCGGGGCUGGGGCGCACGGCCAUGGCCGUAAUGGGGACCGGGGUUCCGCGAAUGCAGGGCUGGGCUCGGUCAGGGGGUCGCGAGCACGAAGCGUCGGACGUUGCGACGGCAAGCAUGGGUUUGUUCGGGCGCGGCACUAUAGCACAAGAUCGAGCAAACCUAGAGGCUAGUCAGCAUCUACAUGGGCACGGGAGCACUCCAGUGUGCCUAGCUGGCCCCGGGACGGCCGAUAGCCACGGCGGGGAGCACCACAGCGGCGACGCGUUCUGGCCAGAGCAAAACAAAGACGACGACGGGACUAUGGCUAUGGAUCGAAAGCGUUUAGGAAGGGGAAACAUAGCGCAGCUCACCCCGAGUCGGAAGAGGAGCUCGAGGAGGUCGGGGAUGCAGUGGAGGUGACGAAUUCAUCGAUGGAGCCGCGGUGGCCGGAGGUAGAAGACGAUGUCGAUGUACAAGAUGAAGAUGGUGGCGAUGGCGAGUGUACGGGCCUUCCCCGCUCGAUUCGGUCCUCGGGAUGGACGAAGUGGACCAUGGCGGUCCUUCUGGGCGUCUUCUCGCGGCGCGGGGAGCAUGGUGGUCACGGCCAUGGCAACGGCAACGGCGGUUUCAUGCGGGGAGAAGAGAGAGAGAGAGAGCGAGGGAAAGGGGGAGUGGAUGAGGAGGAGCGACAAGGCAAGUGGGAGGGGACGAGGGGAGCCCGAGGCGUCGGGGGAUCUUAUCCUCUCGCCCAUGACGCCGGCGAGGCGGUCGGGGGCAACCAUGGCCCUGUAGCGACCGCACCACGGGAACAGGAGGAGAAGGAGACCGGUGGGGGUAUGUGGGCUGGCUCGGGUGGGGGUGGGCCGAGGCCCGGAGGAGUCAGGGGAGUUUUCCUUUUAUUUUGCCUUUUUAUUUAAAUUGCAAAACUAAAAGAGUUUUGAUAGAAAAGAGACUUGUCAACUAAAGCGAGCACAUUUAUUCUAAGAGUCGCAAAAAGUUUAAGGCCGAAAGUAGUUGUCCAACUAUUUUUAGAAAUUUAAAAUGCCAAUUUUAAAUGCUGCUGGAUCACUAAAUAAUUUCCAGGGGCACUUUCGAAACCCAAAAGAGGUUGGUUCUAACAUGACAAUUAUCCAGGUAUUAUUUUCCACACUUUGAACAUUGUAAUUUUCAUGUUUGGCAAAUUGGAAUUUUUGACUUUAAAUUUUGAGUUUGAAUUUGAAUCAUGAUUUGGAUCAAGUGAGGAUUAACAACAGUAAUGUGAUGACAUGACACCAUUAGCAGGGAAUUACUAUAGCUUAAUUAUCCGGGCGUCACAAUUCUCCUCCACUACAAGAAAUCUCGUCCCGAGAUUUUAGGGGUGGAGUAAGGGGGAAAGACUCGAGAAGGACGGAGCUCAACACAAGAUAUGUACCUGGGGGCUAUCUCAGUGAACGUGGCGUAGAGGCAUCUCUCAAGUUGAAAUUUGAGAAAGACGUCGAGAGCAAGGCAAGGAGUUGUAAUAAGAAGCUUCAACUUGGUAGGCAAUUGUUCGUUGCUUGAAAUAGAGAGUGAAUGGGGUUCAGUGCAAUGGGAAUAAGUAUUGCAUCUGAUAACAAAAUAGAUCACUAUGAAUAUGGCUCGCGAAUUACAUAAGAAGCCAAGCACGAGGAAUAACUUAGAAAACAGGGAUGUAUAGAAGAGUCAGGUUUCGAUCCUAUGGAACUGUGGGUUAUGGGCCCACCAUGUGGGUUAAAAGUAGGAAGGGUGCUUACAUUUGCACGGUCAUGAUAACAAGGCUGGUCAGAGGUUAGCCUGUCAAUUAUGUUGGCAACAACUUUGGUACCAAGGGCGAGGGACGAAGAGAACGACUUUCCUGCUCGUAAUACGAGGCGGACCAAUAGGCAAAGUUCUCGUCCAUUGGUGGUUACCGGAAUGUCAUCAACAAUAGUAACAGGGUCUUACUGACAGAGUUGUACACCGAGGUGCUUACUUAAGCAGGGAUUUAUCUCUCUCAGACAAUUUAGAUGACAAGAAAGGAGAAACAAAACAAUGGAAAUGAAAAUGUGAUUAUUAUGAUAAUCAGGCCAAUGGAAAGGAAAGAUGUUUAUACCCAUGUGUAGAGUAUAACUUUCCCAAGGAAAGGCAGAGCAUGAUAGGGCUCCAAGUAUUAAACCGUUUAGACAAAGGGGCAAGGUAUUUAUGAGGUUUACCCAUACAACAGUGUUUGGAUAAUUGAUCAAGAACAGUUAGCAUUGCGCUCCCAAUGUUCUUGUUGAUGAUCGGAGUACCACACACAUGCUUCGGGAUAGUGUUGACAUGGUCAUCGGGCAAAGGUCAGACUUCAGGUACACAAAGGAUCCAUCGGAACAACUUAUAGAAUAAUUCUUACAAUUUCCUCAUGAAAGAAUGGAUAACCUUGCUGAAAAGGAAAACUAUAACAAUGGGUCCUCCGACCAGGUGUACUAGGCAUGACAUCAUCUUACCGGGUCAAAUAAAAGACCAAUAUUAUAACUCUUGGAAAUAUAUUCCAACCAUCAUAUCUGACCGAGAUUCAGAUCUGAUUGGUGUCAGGAUACCUCCGAGUCGGGAUGUCUCAGAAGAAAAGGUGAAACACAAAUUGUCGAGAUGACAUUGUAAGAUUCUCGGGAAUUGAACUAUGGAAGCGAGUUCGAAAACAAGAGUUCAUCACGAAAUGGAGGAGAGGUGAGGAGGUGGCUGAUUGACUCAGCGACAAUUCAUUGAGAUUUUCAAAAGAUGGAUUUCCACACUUAUGUGAACAAGGGGAUAACAUUUGUCGGAUCAAAUGAUAUAACGAUGUAUGCUAAAAAAACAUACACAAUAAAACAUUGGUUGAAAGGUGCACCUGAAAUAUGGGCUUAGGUAGUACGAUCAAUGUUAGAAUGGUGAUUUGAUAAUCAAUGGCCUAAGGAUGUAAUGUUGACCAUUAACUCCAAAGCAAUAGGGUUGAUAGAAGGGCGGAAUCCAAACAGCACCGUUCACCUGUUGGUAUCCCGGUUAGAAACAACACAAGAAAGAAUGGUGAUGGUGAGAAGUAUCACUAUACCAAGAAUUCUUAAGAGGUGGAGCAAUUCUCACAACAUCCUUGACAUAAAAGGUGGUAAUACUUCAAGGUAGAACGUAAUACAAGCUCAAUAGCAAGUUGCAUCCACAACCUGAACAAGUUUAUAAUGAAAGAAAGAGAUGUUGUCGAUGGUAGCUCAAAUUACCAAGGGACGAGGAUGGUACUUACCAUCAGGAAUUUGGUUGAUAUCCUGGAAGGAGUCAAAAUGUUGAUGAUGAUCACGACACAUUUGCCGAGAGAUUUCAUGAAGAUGUAAUCGAUCAGCGAUGGCAUCAAGUCAAGGGAAUGAUGAAGCGCAAGUUUAUUGGAACCACGGGUAUGACACAAACUCGAAACCAAGCUUGUUGUUCAAGGUGAAAUGAUAUGAUGAGGAAGAUCGACAUAAGCUUAGCUCAUCGUCGAAAAUUGUGCUCUGGGAAUAAGGACCAGGUAGCACAGUUUAAGCUUUAACAUGACGAUGAUGAUGUAGCCAAUCGGUUGGGAAUGACAUCAGCAAGUACAACUCGCAAGUAAUAAGGAUUACAAAGAGUAGUUGAACCGUAGAACGGACUCGAUUCAGUUAUCGGGGUUUCAAGUGAAAAACAACUCAAAACCCGGAGAAAAUUGGAAUCAUCGAGAAAUAAUAGUUGAUGAAGAACUCACCAGAAGUUAUGUAGUUCGUUGAUAUUCUCGAGAUACCAGAGUGUAAUACUCGACGGUAGAGCAGAGUCAAGGUUGGACUGGGGUAUUGACCCACAGAAGACAAAUGCUUAAACUUGCCCGAGAAAUGGGAUCAAAGGAGAACAAUAUGGUCGGAACCACGAUUGCAAAGGAUCAAUUCACCGAUACCAGAAGAUAUUAUAUCAAUGAAAUAGUUAUUAUUACAAGAAGCUUCCAUGAUAGGAUCUACAUUGUGUCCAUGGACAUGAACACAAAGUUCAAGGUCGACUCCCACUUCUCUAAUGCAUAACCUUUCACUCACUUCUCGCCUUCGACGAAGUUGUAGUGUUGAAAUUUUAUCUAGCAAAACACCAAAAGAGUAUGACUCGUGAUAGCUCUCGGGUUUACCCAGAUCUAGGAAGGCAUAGGUUCAACCCUUAGGGGUAUCUUGGGAAAAUAUACCACAACUUCGGAGUAAAUAACUCAAGCUCGGGAGCAGAGCGUGGUUGACAAAAGCAGGGGAUACAAUUUACCAAAGGCAUUAUGUAUCUGAGGAAAAGCUCACAAGGUUAAUGAAUACGAAGGACGGUGUCGGACAAAAUCCAACAAAGGAUCUGACGGUCCACAACAGAGCUGAUGUGAGCAUCGGCACACAAUCAGAGGAAGAAUCAAGGCAAGGGCCUUAGAUUAUAGAAACAACUGACUAACUCAAAGCUCAAAGGCAAAGAAUCAUAAUUUCCAAAUCAAGGGCUCAGAGGCAAAACUCUGAUUAAGGAUGAAUAAGUUGAAUAGACUUAGGGGUACAUUCGACGACAACUUGAUUGGUCGAGGACCAGCUCAUGUUCAAAAUGAUGUGUGAGCCGGAAGGAUGAAUUCUAUCUGCGACUGAGGAUUGCGAACAUCUGCAUCAUAUUGAAUCAACGGGAUCAAAAUGACGGUGCCUAAGGAUACUAACGAAUAUUGCCAGACAUAUGGAAAGCAUCCAUAAUGCAAGCAGACAAGUAUUGCAGAGCAAUAAGCUAAUAAAGAUUUUUGGAGGAUCAAAUAGUAUUUUGAGGACCAAUGUGAAACACAUGAACAAAUGGGAAUGAACAGAUACUCGAUAAGGGCGAGAAAUUAUCCGUAGGGGUAUUCAGGUGGCAAGAACUGCAAGGCAGUAAGCUCAAAGGAUUCUCGGAGCAAUGGAGAGCAGUUCGGGGCAUCUUGUAAUAUCAAGAUCCAUAGGAUUGAAUGUAAGAAUGGCACGUGUAUAUAGUUAUCCAAUAAGGAUAUACCAAUGGUAGGGGGUUCGUAAGGGCGGUGGGCAUAAGUGUCUCAGGAGAACAUCGUAGAGUAUCUUCGAAAUCUUCUGGUGCACUAAGCAAUCAUCUGGAGUGAGGGAUCUCCGGGGGGAAGUGGUUACGAGAACCUAGAGUCGGCGUUAGUAAAAUCUUUUAACCCGAGUAGAGGAGAGAUCAGAGUCCUAGAGUAAAGGUCGAGGAGUAAAAGAUCCUAAUACCACCCAAUGGCGACGUGGGCCCGUAAGGCACACAACCAAGUUAGUAAAAGUUUUGUAGUGAUUAGACUCGACUUCGGCCAAGGAGUGUGGAAGGGGGAUUCCUACAGGCAGUCGGCUCUGAUACCAACUUGUGACGCCCCCGAUUCAAUUGUACACUAAUCAUGCAUGCAAAUGUGUACGAUCAAGAUCAGGGACUCACGGGAAGAUAUCACAACACAACUCUAAAACAUAAAUAAGUCAUACAAGCAUCAUAAUACAAGCCAAGGGCCUCGAGGGCUCGAAUACAAGUGCUCGAUCAUAGACGAGUCAGCGGAAGCAACAAUAUCUGAGUACAGACAUAAGUUAAACAAGUUUGCCUUAAGAAGGCUAGCACAAACUGGGAUACAGAUCAAAAGAGGCGCAGGCCUCCUGCCUGGGAUCCUCCUAACUACUCCUGGUCGUCAUCGGCGGGCUGCACGUAGUAGUAGGCACCUCCAGAGUAGUAGUCGUCGUCGACGGUGGCGUCUGGAUCCUGGGCUCCAACAUCUGGUUGCGACAUCCGAGAAGAAGAGGAAAACGAGGGAAAAGAGGGAGCAAAGCAACCGUGAGUACUCAUCCAAAGUACUCGCAAGCAAGGAGCUACACUACAUAUGCAUGGGUAUAUGUGUAAGGAGGCAAUAUGAGUGGACUGAACUGCAGAAUGCCAGAAUAAGAGGGGGAUAGCUAGUCCUAUCGAAGAGUACGCUUCUGGCAGCCUCCGUCUUGCAGCAUGUAGAAGAGAGUAGACUGAAGUCCUCCAAGUAGCAUCGCAUAGCAUAAUCCUACCCGGCGAUCCUCCCCUCGUCGCCUUGUGGAAAAGCGAUCACCGGGUCGUAUCUGGCACUUCGAAGGGUGUGUUUUAUUAAGUGUCCGGUUCUAGUUGUCAUAAGGUCAAAGUACAACUCCAAGUCGUCCUGUUACCGAAGAUCACGGCUAUUUGAAUAGAUUAACUUCCCUGCAGGGGUGCACCACAUAACCCAACACGCUCGAUCCUAUUUGGCCGGACACACUUUCCUGAGUCAUGCCCAGCCUCGGAAGAUCAACACGCCGCAGCCCCACCUAGGCACAAUAGAGAGGUCAGCCCGCCGGUCUAAAUCCUAUGCGCGCAGGGGUCUGGGCCCAUCGCCCAUUGCACACCUGCACGUUGCGAGGGCGGCCGGAAGCAGACCUAGCAACCUCCAUUACAAAGGAAGUCACGUUACGCGGUCCAAUCCGGCGCGCGCCGCUCCGUCGCUGACGUCAAGAAGGCUUCGGCUGAUACCACGACGUCGAGUGCCCAUAACUGUUCCCGCGUAGUUGGUUAGUGCGUAUAGGCCAGUGGCCAGACUCAGAUCAAAUACCAAGAUCUCGUUAAGCGUGUUAUUAUGAAAUAACUGCGGACGCCAACCAGGGCCAGGCCCACCUGUCUCCCAGGUGGUCUCAACCUGCCCUGUCGCUCCGCCACAAAGAUCCACACAGAGGGCCGUCGGGACAAAGGUCCUUUCAGCCCCCAAUCCAUGAAUCACUCGCGGGUACUCCUCGAGCCGACCCGACUUUGGUCACCAUCUGUAGUAUGUAUAUAUGUAUAGUAUAAACCCGUGAUCACCUCCCGAGUGAUCACGGCCCAAUAGUAUAGCAAGGCAGACUGACAAGAAUGUAGGCCCAAUGAUGAUAAACUAGCAUCCUAUACUAAGCAUUUAGGAUUGCGGGUAAGGUAUCAAUGACUGUAGCAACAAUGACAGGCUAUGCAUCAGAAUAGGAUUAACGGAAAGCAGUAACAUGCUACACUACUCUAAUGCAAGCAGUAUAGAGAAGAAUAGGCGAUAUCUGGUGAUCAAGGGGGGGGCUUGCCUGGUUGCUCUGGCAAGUAGGAGGGGUCGUCAACUCCGUAGUCGAACUGGGGAGCAGCAGUGUCUGCCUCGGGGUCUAGCGAGAGAAGAGGGGGAAGAAACAAUAAAUACAAUGCAAACAAAUGCAUGACGAUGCAUGACAAGACAAGGCGUGUUGCUAGGUGUGCCCCAACGCGGUAGUAGGUGGUACCGGCGAAGGGGGAAAACAUCCGGGAAAGUAUCCCCGGUGUUUCGCGUUUUCGGUUAGAGGAACCGAAGGGGGAAAGUUGCAGGUUCACUAUGCUAGGGACGCGUGGCGGACGAACGAGCUGCAUAUCUGGAUUCGUCUCAUCGUUCUGAGCAACUUUCGUGUACAAAGUUUUUCCAUCCGAGCUACAGAUUAUUUUAUAUUAAUUUUUAAAGUUUUAAAUCAUUUUCUAGAAUUUUUAGAUAUUUCAAAAAAGAAAUUACCUAAACUGCUAUGGAUACACAGAGAGGUGUACCCAAUAGUGUGCAAGAGGCUGACAGGUGGGGUCCAGUUGACUGCCCAGACAGCAGUCAACUAAGACUGUUGACUAGUCAAAGGGACCAGGGGACCCGCAUGUCAUUGACUGGGCUAUCCCAGUCAGCAGUUUGACUGGUCAAUGGGUUGACUGGGGCCACUUGUCAGUGACUAGACUCAGAUAGACUUUAGUUAAGUUACAUUAAUUAGCAGUGGGGGCCACUAGUCAUAGGGCCAUCUAACUAAUGAAACUAAUAAUAAUAAAAAGGUUAAUCCCCAAUUAGCCGGCCCCAAUCUUGCAGUGGCCAGAGGCCACGACUGGGAGCACGCACAACCGCACGCACAGGUGCGCUGGCGGUCGGUGCCCAACACACAGGGCGGAGGGGGAGUAGGACGCGGCCCUAGCCAGCAGGCGUGGUCGACCGCGGGCGAUGUGGGCGCUGGCCCGCGCGAGGGCGGCUGGGUUGCAACCAGCAGCGGCGCGCGACGUCAGCCGCAGGCAGUAGCAGCCGCAGGCAGUGGAAGGCGGGGGCGGGCAUGGCACCCGCAGGGCGGCUACGGCGGCAGGCGCGGGGCUGGGGCGCGCGGCCACGGCCGUAAUGGGGACCGGGGUUCCGCGGAUGCGGGGCUGGGCUCGGUCAGGGGGUCGCGAGCACGAAGCGUCGGACGUUGCGACGGCAAGCAUGGGUCUGAUCGGGCGCAACACUAUAGCACAAGAUCGAGCAAACCUAGAGGCUAGUCAGCAUCUACAUGGGCACGGGAGCACUCCAGUGUGCCUAGCUGGCCCCGGGACGGCCGAUAGCCACGGCGGGGAGCACCACAGCGGCGACGCGUUUUGGCCGGAGCAAAACAAAGACGACGACGGGACUAUGGCUAUGGAUCGAAAGCGUUUAGGAAGGGGAAACGUAGCGCAGCUCACCGCGAGUCGGAAGAGGAGCUCGAGGAGGUCGGGGAUGCAGUGGAGGUGACGAAUUCGUCGAUGGAGCCGCGGUGGCUGGAGGUAGAAGACGACGUCGAUGUACAAGAUGAAGAUGGUGGAGAUGGCGAGUGUACGGGCCUUCCCCGCUCGAUUCGGUCCUCGGGAUGGAUGAAGUGGACCAUGGCGGUCCUUCUGGGCGUCUUCUCGCGGCGCGGGGAGCAUGGUGGUCACGGCCAUGGCAACGGCAACGGCGGUUUCAUGCGGGGAGAAGAGAGAGAGAGAGAGAGCGAGGGAAAGGGGGAGUGGAUGAGGAGGAGCGACAGGGCAAGUGGGAGGGGACGAGGGGAGCCCGAGGCGUCGGGGGAUCUUAUCCUCUCGCCCAUGACGCCGGCGAGGCGGUCGGGGGCAACCAUGGCCCUGUAGCGACCGCACCACGGGAACAGGAGGAGAAGGAGACCGGUGAGGGUAUGUGGGCUGGCUCGGGUGGGGGUGGGCCGAGGCCCGGAGGAGUCAGGGGAGUUUUCCUUUUAUUUUGCCUUUUUAUUUAAAUUGCAAAACUAAAAGAGUUUUGAUAGAAAAGAGACUUGUCAACUAAAGCGAGCACAUUUAUUCUAAGAGUCGCAAAAAGUUUAAGGCCGAAAGUAGUUGUCCAACUAUUUUUAGAAAUUUAAAAUGCCAAUUUUAAAUGCUGUUGGAUCACUAAAUAAUUUCCAGGGGCACUUUUGAAACCCAAAAGAGGUUGGUUCCAACAUGACAAUUAUCCAGGUAUUAUUUUCCACACUUUGAACAUUGUAAUUUUCAUGUUUGGCAAAUUGGAAUUUUUGACUUUAAUUUUUGAGUUUGAAUUUGAAUCAUGAUUUGGAUCAAGCGAGGAUUAACAACAGUAAUGUGAUGACAUGACACCAUUAGUAGGGAAUUACUAUAGCUUAAUUAUCCGGGCGUCAUAGUUCCGGUGCCAUAAAAAUCAACAACUUCAAAGGCACAAGUCCGAGGGUGGUGAACGGUCAAAGAAUCAAACAUUAUAUCUCAGGUAAUCCUAUAAAUGUUGAAACCAAUAUUAUUGAAACUGUAACCCCGAAGGAAUACAUAAGGGACACUUUCGAGAAUGUUUCAGACUCCGAAAAGGAAUAGGUAUGUGGUACGGUAAAUAAACCGACUCCAAAACAAUUCUAAUGGCAUUUUUUCUCCAUUUUGGAAUAUUUAAGAAUUUUGGAAAGCAAGAAGUAAUCCGGGAAGGACACGAGGCCUCCACGAGGGUGGAGGGCGCGCCCACCCUUACUGGGCGUGCCCCCUGUCUCGGGGGGCACCUUGUGUGCCUCCUGGACUCCAUUUUCUUGCACGUUACUUCUUUUGGCCGGUAAAAAUUCAUUAUAUAAUCUCCCAAAAGUUUGGACCACUAUAUCACGCAAAAAUCCUCUAUUUUCAUUUCGAGUUGUUUUUCUGACAGAUCUAGAGCAUCAUGACGUCACCCUCCUUCAACAAUGAAGACAAGGAUGCUUGGCUAUUGAAGAUAGAGUUGAAAAGAGAAGAACCGGAGGAGAUUAACAAGGAUGAAAGGAUCAAGAAGGCUAUGGAGGAUCAAGCCCUGGCGAUGGAAGAAGAAAACAUUCCUCAACCUCUACCUAACCUCUUUACCCCAACUGAGAUUGAAGCUUUCAAGAUGAUUGAGUUAGCUCGCAUACAAAACAAGUAUCUUACACAAGAUUUUUUUGUUGAAGGAUCAUAUCGUCGCACUCAAGGGCAGUAUCCGCAAGUUGGAGGAGCUUUUACGCUCGAAGUGCGAUUAUCCACCAUCAUCAUCACCACCUUCAUCACCUCCGAGGACAUAAUCACAUGGGUAUGGGCACUCCCCUUGGCAACUGCCAAGCUUGGGGGAGGUGCCCCGGUAUCGUAUCACCAUCACACUCCUAUCUUUACCGUUUUACUUAGUUCAAUCCUUUUAGUAAUAUCUUGAUCUAGUAGAAUAAAGUUUUGGUAUGAAUUAGUUUUGAUUUUUGCUUUGUGAUCCCUAUUUGUAAUCGAGUUCGUGAGCUAUAUAAUAAAGAUUAGUGUUGAGUCAAGGGCUUUGCUAUCUUGCUAUGAUCUUGAGAAAAUAGAAAGAAUAAAAGAAAUAAAAGAGUUCAUAUUGAUCUUAUGGAUAGUAAUGACUUCACACAUAAAGAGUAUGAGACUUAAAAGUUGUUGAGAGUUGACAAACAUAGUUUUGGUCAUCGUUGCAAUUAAUAGGAAGUAAUAAAGAAAGAGAGGUUCUCACAUAUAAAUAUACUAUCUUGGACAUCUUUUAUGUUUGUGAGCACUCAUUAAGUAUGACAUUGUAAAGAGUUGAUGUUGGACAAGGGAGACAACGUAAUGGGUUAUGUUUUCUCACAUCUCAGUUAAAGUAUAUUGUCAUGGAUCUCCCAACAUGUUGAGCUUGCCUUUCCCCCUCAUGCUAGCCAAAUUCCUUGCACCAAGUAGAGAUACUACUUGUGCUUCCAAAUAUCCUUAAACCCAGUUUUUCCAUGAGAGUCCAUCAUACCUACCUAUGGAUUGAGUAAGAUCCGUCAAGUAAGUUGUCAUAUUGCAAUCAAUAAAAAUUGUUCUCUAAAUAUGUAUGACUUAUUAGUGCGGAGAAAAUAAGAUUUAUACGAUCGUGUGACAUGGAAGUAAUAAAAGCGACAGACUGCAUAAUAAAGGUUCAUAUCACAAGUGGCAAUAUAAACUGACGUUCUCUUGCAUUAAGAUUUUGUGCAUCCAACCCUAAAAGCACAUGACAACCUCUGCUUCCCUCUAUGAAGGGCCUAUCUUUUACUUUAUGUCUUUUUACUUUAUGCAAGAGUCAAGGUGAUCCUCACCUUUCCCUUUUUCAUUUUAUCCUUUGGCAAGCACCUCGUGUUGGAAAGAUCCUGAUAUAUAUAUCCAAUUGGAUGUAAGUUAGCAUGAACUAUUAUUAUUGACAUCACCCGAAGGUGAAUACGUUGGGAGGCAACAUUAUAAGGCCCUAUCUUUCUCAGUGUCCGAUUAAAACUCCAUAACCAUAAGUAUUGCGUGAGUGUUAGCAAUUGUAGAAGACUAUAUGAUAGUUGGGUAUGUGGACUUGCUGAAAAGCUCUAUUCUUGACUCUUUCUGAUGUUAUGAUAAAUUGCAAUUGCUUCAAUGACUGAGAUUAUAGUUUGCUAGUUCUCAAUGAAGUUUCUGAACCAUACUUGACAUUGUGAACAGAUUGUUACUUGAGCAUAAGAAAUCAUAUGACAAAAUCUAUAUAUGUUGUUGUUAUAAGAAUGAUCAUGAUGCCCUCAUGUCCGUAUUUUAUUUUUAUCGACACCUCUAUCUCUAAACAUGUGGACAUAUUUUUCGAUUUCGGCUUCCGCUUGAGGAUAAGCGAGGUCUAAGCUUGGGGAAGUUGAUACGUCCAUUUUGCAUCAUGAUUUUAUAUCGCUAUUUAUUGCAUUAUGGGUUGUUAUUACAUGUAAUGUCAGAAUACUUAUGGCUAUUCUCUCUUAUUUUAUAAGGUUUAUCAUGAAGAGGGAGAAUGCCGGCAGCUGGAAUUCUGGCUGA